GCUCCGGUGGCUUAGUGGUUAGAGCGUCCGCCUCGGAUGCGGGAGGUCGUGGGUUCGAUCCCAGGUCAAGUCA
Molecule: non-coding RNA, 73 nt
Organism: Potamilus streckersoni
Lineage: Eukaryota; Metazoa; Mollusca; Bivalvia; Unionida; Unionidae
Source: the annotation of a GenBank genome assembly